GCGGGUGUAGUUCAAUGGUAGAACUUCAGCCUUCCAAGCUGAUUGCGUGGGUUCGAUUCCCAUCACCCGCUCCA
This 74-nucleotide transfer RNA is filed under the name Thiothrix winogradskyi. RNAcentral's name for it is "tRNA-Gly". It matches the Rfam family "tRNA". Rfam says of the family: Transfer RNA (tRNA) molecules are approximately 80 nucleotides in length. Their secondary structure includes four short double-helical elements and three loops (D, anti-codon, and T loops). Lineage: Bacteria; Pseudomonadati; Pseudomonadota; Gammaproteobacteria; Thiotrichales; Thiotrichaceae. The record is from RNAcentral. RNAcentral also lists the same sequence under 6 other names.